This 305-nucleotide ribosomal RNA is filed under the name uncultured bacterium. RNAcentral's name for it is "bacterial SSU rRNA". It matches the Rfam family "Bacterial small subunit ribosomal RNA", at positions 333 to 654 of the family's 1533-position model. The record is from RNAcentral.
GAAGGCCUACGGGGCGCAGCAGUGGGGAGUAUUGCACAAUGGGGGAAACCCUGAUGCAGCGACGCCGCGUGAGCGAAGAAGUAUUUCGGUAUGUAAAGCUCUAUCAGCAGGGAAGAAAAAUGACGGUACCUGAGUAAGAAGCACCGGCUAAAUACGUGCCAGCAGCCGCGGUAAUACGUAGGGGGCAAGCGUUAUCCGGAUUUACUGGGUGUAAAGGGAGCGUAGGUGGCAGGGCAAGUCAGAUGUGAAAACCCGGGGCUCAACUCCGGGAGUGCAUUUGAAACUGUCCAGCUAGAGUGCAGGAG